Molecule: non-coding RNA, 22 nt
Filed under: Rattus norvegicus (Norway rat)
Lineage: Eukaryota; Metazoa; Chordata; Mammalia; Rodentia; Muridae
Source: RNAcentral
UUCACAUAUGGCCUUUAUUAUG